Molecule: ribosomal RNA, 639 nt
Filed under: uncultured fungus
Lineage: Eukaryota; Fungi
Description: eukaryotic LSU rRNA
Rfam family: Eukaryotic large subunit ribosomal RNA
Source: RNAcentral
ACCCGCUGAACUUAAGCAUAUCAAUAAGCGGAGGAAAAGAAACUAACAAGGAUUCCCCUAGUAACUGCGAGUGAAGCGGGAAAAGCUCAAAUUUAAAAUCUGGCGGUACUUGCGACCGUCCGAGUUGUAAUCUAGAGAAGUGUUAUCCGUGCUGGACCGUGUACAAGUCUCUUGGAAUAGAGCGUCAUAGAGGGUGAGAAUCCCGUCUUUGCCACGGACUGCCAGUGCAUUGUGAUGCGCUCUCAACGAGUCGAGUUGUUUGGGAAUGCAGCUCAAAACGGGUGGUAAACUCCAUCUAAAGCUAAAUAUUGGCGAGAGACCGAUAGCGAACAAGUACCGUGAGGGAAAGAUGAAAAGAACUUUGGAAAGAGAGUUAAACAGUACGUGAAAUUGUUGAAAGGGAAACGCUUGAAGUCAGUCGCGUUCGCUGGGGAUCAACCUUCUCUCGAGUUGGUGCACUUCCCAGUUGACGGGUCAGCAUCGAUUUCGAUUGUCGGAUAAAAGUGGGAGGAAUGUGGCAUCUCCGGAUGUGUUAUAGCCUCUCGUUGCAUACGACAGUUGGGAUCGAGGAACUCAGCACGCCGCAAGGCUGGGGAUUCGUCCCACAUAACGUGCUUAGGAUGCUGGCAUAAUGGCUUU